This 706-nucleotide ribosomal RNA is filed under the name endophytic bacterium CL16b. Its description in RNAcentral is "bacterial SSU rRNA". It matches the Rfam family "Bacterial small subunit ribosomal RNA", at positions 797 to 1505 of the family's 1533-position model. The record is from RNAcentral.
CCCUUGUAACCGAUGUCGACUUGGAGGUUGUGCCCUUGAGGCGUGGCUUCCGGAGCUAACGCGUUAAGUCGACCGCCUGGGGAGUACGGCCGCAAGGUUAAAACUCAAAUGAAUUGACGGGGGCCCGCACAAGCGGUGGAGCAUGUGGUUUAAUUCGAUGCAACGCGAAGAACCUUACCUACUCUUGACAUCCAGAGAACUUUCCAGAGAUGGAUUGGUGCCUUCGGGAACUCUGAGACAGGUGCUGCAUGGCUGUCGUCAGCUCGUGUUGUGAAAUGUUGGGUUAAGUCCCGCAACGAGCGCAACCCUUAUCCUUUGUUGCCAGCGGUUAGGCCGGGAACUCAAAGGAGACUGCCAGUGAUAAACUGGAGGAAGGUGGGGAUGACGUCAAGUCAUCAUGGCCCUUACGAGUAGGGCUACACACGUGCUACAAUGGCGCAUACAAAGAGAAGCGACCUCGCGAGAGCAAGCGGACCUCAUAAAGUGCGUCGUAGUCCGGAUUGGAGUCUGCAACUCGACUCCAUGAAGUCGGAAUCGCUAGUAAUCGUGGAUCAGAAUGCCACGGUGAAUACGUUCCCGGGCCUUGUACACACCGCCCGUCACACCAUGGGAGUGGGUUGCAAAAGAAGUAGGUAGCUUAACCUUCGGGAGGGCGCUUACCACUUUGUGAUUCAUGACUGGGGUGAAGUCGUCAAGGGGUUAGCCA